GGUGACAGGGAGGGUAAAUCUCCUGAAACUGGGGGCAAGGUAAAGAUGGGAACCACAGAGAACCAGGGGUUCUUUGGAGGACUGGGUUUGGGAGAAGACUAUUUCAGCUCAGAGCCCACAACCCAGGUCAAUGGCCUGGUCUUACCCUGGUCUCUAUGCUGGGCCCACAGAUUGACCAGAAGCUUCUGGAGCAGAUAGAAACAGAAGGCUUAAGGUCCAAGACCAUGGAAAAGAGAAGUAGACGAGUCCCAUCCCUCCAGAAGAGGCCCCCAGAAGGCCUGGGGUCAGGAACAAAACUGGCUGACAGGACAAACCUACAGAAGAGGAUCGCCUUCCAGCCUUGGACUCCUUCCACCACCAUCUUCUCCCCAUUGCAAACAGUCAAGCAGAACAUCCCCCUGCAACACUGGGAGUCAAGUGGGGAACAACCCUUGGGGACAAGGGACACCAAUCCUGCUUCCUUCCUAUCCCCUGGAACCAUAUUACUGGCUGGGAGUCCCUGGAAGAAGUACGAUGGGGCGUUACAGUGGGACCUCUUGAGGCUGAACCCAGACAAGAGAAAAAUACCUGAGGAUGUCGCUUCCCCAGCCCCCCACAACCUCGCAGGAGCCCAGUGCAGAAAGCUGAGUGGCUGCCUUGAACGGGAGGCCACUUUCUACCGGAGUAACAGCUCUGAAAUCCUGCGCCCAACAUCACCAGAAGGACAGACUCGUCUCUCUUGGCAAGUCCCAAGCAGCGGUGCCGCACUUCCUGAGGCCCAAAGAUUAAGCCUAGAACCCAGAGCCAGACCUCUCAGCUCCUUGAGUGGGAACCCUGCUGAGAAACUGCCUAACAAGAUCAUCCUACCCAGAUGGACACCUUCCUUUAAGCUCCAGAGGAAGACUGGACCUUUGGAGAGAACUACACAAGGCUUCAUGCGGCCUCCAGCUCCUGGCCACGUCACUGGACCUGGGACUGCGGAUGAGACAGCGAGGGCUCCCAACCUCAGCACGGAGGAAAAGGAGAAGCUCUAG
This 1013-nucleotide long non-coding RNA is filed under the name Phascolarctos cinereus (koala). Its description in RNAcentral is "lncRNA (ENSPCIG00000031264.1)". Lineage: Eukaryota; Metazoa; Chordata; Mammalia; Diprotodontia; Phascolarctidae. The record is from RNAcentral.